UUUUAACUGCCUAGCAGGACAAGAGGCCAUAUGCAGUUUUCCCCUUGACUGAUCUUUGCUUCUUGUGGCUUAUUCCACAAACAAGAGGCAGAAUGGCAUAUACAGAACCCUGCAAAGGCCCAGCCUCAUCACAAGAGAGGAACAGACCAUAGAGGGGUGGGGCAGAAAGAGGAAUGAUUUUUUUUUAACUGCGCCUUUUAAACUGCGAAGCAGCUAAGCUCCAUAUAUACAGAAGAGCCCCAUGGAAGUCUGGGUGUAUAUAGGGGUAUGUUUUCCAGCAGGACAUGGGCUAUGUGCCAUCAUCAUCUGCGAUAGAAAAUAGACCAAGGGCGAAUAGAUGGCCUUG
Molecule: long non-coding RNA, 346 nt
Filed under: Pan troglodytes (chimpanzee)
Lineage: Eukaryota; Metazoa; Chordata; Mammalia; Primates; Hominidae
Description: long non-coding RNA NONPTRT004043
Source: RNAcentral